GCGCUUACAAAAUGUUACAGUUUGGAGUAACAUUCUUGCCUCCUACUUUACUAUAAAAGAAAGAUGAGAGUUGUUCAUUAUGUGGCUGCUUCCUGCUGAAUAGGGGCACUGUAGUCAGGGUUUGGGUUUUGAAGUACUGCGUGUCGUCUUCAGAGUUGUUUUCCUGGAGGCGCUGAUACCGGACUUGGUGGAGAAGGAUGGUAUGAAUGUGUUUCUAGGUGGCUGCCUGGACAAGGGAGUUCAGCCUUUGGGAGAUAAAGCAGAAUAUAAAGGAAGCACACUUGAGUUUGAUACAUGGAGAGCUGCACCAGCAGAGAGGGGCAGGGUUGGUAAGGAGGUGUUUUAUGAAAUCCAGCUUGAAACAUGUUUCGUUUAGAGGCCAUGAAGUAAAGGAGGGCGACAUCCCAGUGUGUGACAGUGUGGGUUUAUUUGAUGGAUUGGGGGAAAGGUGUUUAGCUGAGCAAGAUUAUAAACAGGUUUUGGGAAUGGAUUGGCUGAGUAGGUGAGAUGCAGGUUUAUUUUGGACCAGGUUUAUGUGGUUAGGUUAACAGGAAGGGCUGUGAUUUGCUGGAUUUAUGUGGACAAAUAAAUUUAACAGUUGGAAGAAAGAGGGAAGUGUAACUGAUUAAAAGGUAAUGUGUGAGGUUGACAAAGGGGCCCCAACUGCCAAAGGUUGGGGGUGGGGACUUAGAGUAUCCAACAGACAAAGAAGACAAAAAGAAAAAAUAAAAACAAAAACGGAGAUUUGAGUAGGAGUGAUAUCCUGGAAGGUGUCCUGCAGCCAUAGCUCCUGGAUUAAUGUGAGGAACUGGAGUGGUCUAUCCAGGGACACGGGAGGGAAUACUGGGAAAGAUUUGAAACAAAGUAUGAGAUAAAAGAUUUGAAAUUGGAGGCAGAGAAUGUCAUGGACCAGGGCCUUCUGGAUCGGCAACUUCUGGAAUUUUUGUAAGCGCAGCAAGUCAGUCCUGUGAGGGAGGAAGAAUAAUUUGGGGAUGAGGAAAUUUCUGGAAGUGGAAUUGGUGGUCUUUUUAGUUUGGAAUGGUGUAUCCAAUAUGGAUAGGAUGUUAGCUUUGCUGCCAUGAGAGUAGUUAGGAUUACCUGGUGAGGACCCAUCCACUUUGGUUGGAGAGAGGAGGAGGAGGAGUCUGUGAUUCAGACCCAGUCCCCUGGUUGUAGGGACAGGGAGGAGUGUCUGGAGGAUGGGCUUUCAGGCUGGGGCAAGUAAGCAUUUGCACACUGUCUUGUUAGAUGUUGAGUGAGGUGUAAUGCCAGCCAAGUAUCCCAUAUAGAAGGGGGAGGAGAUGAAGGAAGAUCCUGGAGGAUAAAGGGGCAUCUGUACAUGAGUUCAAAUGGGCUUAGGCUGAGGGGCUUGUGGGGAAUGGCUCACAAAUGCAUGAGGGCCAAUGGGAGAAGUGAAGUCCAGGUCGUCUUAACCUCAAGGGAGAGUUUGGUUAGUUGUUGUUUCAGAAGGGCAUUGGCCUGUUCAAUCUUACUGGAAGAUUGGGGGUUACAGGGAAUAUGGAAAGCCCAUUUAAUGUUUAGAGCCUUUGCUUGCUGUUGGUUAACCUGUGAAAUAAAUGUUGGCCCAUUGUCUGACUGGAUGGUAGAGGGGAGUUCAAACUGGGGGAUAGUAUGAGUGAGGAGAAUAGAAGUGACAGUGUGUGCCCUUUUGGUGGUGGUAGGAAAAGCUUUUAUCCAGAGAAUAUAUUUACUGCUGUCACAAGGUAUUGGACUCUUUUUAUGGGGGGGCAUGUGGGUGAAGUCGAUUUGCCAGUCCUGCCCUGACAGGUGUCCUCAGGCCUGGUGUGCAGGAAAGGAGGUGAUUUGAUAGCUUCCUGAGGGGAAGUUUGAGUGCAAAGGGAACAUGCCUUAGAAAUAUUUUUGAGAUUAGCAGCCAUGGUGGGAGAAUGUAUAUAACCUUUUAAGAGAUGGAGUAGUGGGCAGUAACCAGCAUAAAAAUUGUUGUGCACUUAUAAAAGUACAGAAGUUUUUUGUGACUUGAGUAAGACAAUUUUAUUAUUGAGGUAGAACCAUUUUAAUUCCUGAAUGGUGCCAGCCUAGGUGACUGAGAUUUGUUCCUCUUGGGUAUAUAUAGGGUGUAUGUUGGGAAAAAUGGGCAAUAAUGAUUUUUUAAGGGCUGUCUGCUGGGCCGCCGAACUUGCUAAAAACUUUCCCUUGUUUAUGGCAUUUGUAGCCUUUUAGUGUCCUUUACAAUGGAUGAUGGCAGCCUGUGAUGGUAGUUUAGCUGCCUCCAGCAGCUUGUAUAUGAGUUUGCCAUUUCCUAUGGGGGUUCUUUUUGUAGCUAGAAAAACCCUUUCCGGCUAGCUUAAGGCGUGAGAGUGUAGGAUGUGGUAUGUGUAUUUGGAAUUCAUGUAAAUAUUAAUUCUCUUUCCCUUUGCUAGGGUGAGGGCCGUGGUUAGAAAAACUAGCUUCACCUGUUGAGGGGUAGUAUGAGGCGGGAGAGCAUUGGAUUUUAGGAGUUUGUUUUUGGCAAUGAUGAGUUUGUUUUUGGCAGCUGCUGGACAUGGCUCCCUAAAAGAGCUUCUGUUAAUGAACCAUGUAGGGGUUCCCUGCAAAGGGGCUUCCAAAAUGUGUUGGAAGUGGGAAGAGAGGGAGUCUAAGAGGUCCAGGCAGGAGUGAGAGAGAGCUCAGAGUUGGAGGUGUUUACAGGGAGAAGGGUGGCCAGGUUGAGAGCUUUACAUUUCUGGAAAGUGAUUUAGAGAGUUUCCUAUGAAUAAGGCAUGUACCUGCUGUAAGCAGGAUGGUGAGAGGGAUAGAAGAGAAUGAUGGCUUAUGAGGUUCUAUAGGUUAUGGGAAGAUGCAUUACACAUAGUAAUGUGUUGUUAGAAAGUGAGUUUCUGUGCCUCUGAGGCCAGCAAUGUGGCCACACCUAAGAUUUUUAGGCACAGUGGCCAGCCUUGAAUGAGAGUCCGGUUGUUUUGAGAGGUAUGUAACGGCUUGUGGGGCAUUGCUGUAUGUUUGGUAGUCCAUAAGCAAGGCCUUGGUCAGAAUGUACAUACAGAGUAAAGGGGUUGGUGGGGUUGGGCAGUCCCAGUGCUGGGGCCAUUAAAAAGGCAUUUUUUUAGUUUUUUAAAGUGGGAGUUGAUGGGGCAAGCUGGGUUCAGGGAUUUUAGGAUGGGCCCAUGUGAGGCCGUGUAGAACAGCUUGGACAGCAAGCCAAACUUGGGAAUCUACAGCUGGAAGUAUCCCACAAGACCCAAGAAGGAGAGGAGGUCCUCCUUUGUGUGGGAAAGAGGAAUAUCCCAAUUUAGCUCAUUUCACUGAGUUGAGAAGGCCUGAGAAUUAGGCGGUAGAGUAAGCCCAAGGUAAGUGACCUGGGUUUGGGCUACCUGAGCCUUUGUGGGUGAGACCCGAUAUCCUUGACUAUGGAGGAAAUUUAAAAGCUGAGUGGUGUGUUCAAAGGACAGGUUAAGGGAGGGGCUACAGAGAAGGAGGUUAUUGACGUAUUAGAGGAGGGUGCUAGGAAUAAGGGGAAGUUCAGCUAGAUUCUUGGUGAGGGCCUGUCUGAAUAGGUGGGGACUAUCCUGGAACCCCUGUGGGAGUAUGAUCCAUGUUAGUUGGGAGGAUGUGUAUUAGGAUUUGACCAAGUGAAAGCAAAAAGACUUUGGGAAGCAAAAUUUAAGGGAAUAGUGAAAAAGGUGUCCUUUAGAUCCAAUACAGAGAAGUGUGUGGUAGAUGAGGGAAUAUGGGAGAGUAGAGUAUAUGAUUGGGACCACCAGAUAGAUAGGCCUAGUUAACAACUCAGAGAUCCUGGACCAAGAGGUAAGACCUGUCUGUCUUAUUGACCACUAGGAUAGGGGUGUUGUGGGGAGAGGUGACAGGCUUGAGAAUUCGAGCUUAUAAAAGUUUACAGAUAAUAGGUUUGAGGUCCCUAAGACCAGCUGGGUUAAGGGGAUUUUGAGACUGACGAAGGAAAAUGGAGGGGUUUUGGAGGGUUAUUGUGACUGGGAUGUGAUGUGUGGCUAUUGUGGGUUUAGAAACGUUUCGAACUUCAGGAUUAACAAAAGGUAACAGGGUGGAUAAUGAGGAUGAGGGGAAGGAGAGGGAAGCAUCUGGGCGGCAGAGUAAAAUAAAAGGGAUGGAAUUGUAGGAGGCAAAUUGUAUGGAGACCUGGGAUUUACUUUGUAUGUCCUGCCCCAAGAUAGGGUAGGACACUGAGGGAUAAUCAGGAAUGGGUGGGUGAAGGGGGUGUUGAAUAGGUUGCAUAAUAGAGAACCAGUCUGUUUGUGCCUAGAGGGGAUUCCAUUGACUCCCACAAAUAGAGAUAGAAGAACUGAGGAGGGGUCCAGAAUAUCCUGGUAAAACUGAGUAACUAGUCACAUAUUUAACAGGAAAAGCAUAAGCUUACCAGAUACUGACAGUGUUACCCUGGGUUCCAAGGCGGUGAUGGCAGUGGGGGGAGUGGAUUCCAGGCCCCAUCAGUCUUCAGUUAGAGGUGGUGAAACGGGAUGAAGAGUUUCGCUGAGCACAGUCCAAUGACCAGUGUUCCUUGAUACCACAGAUGGGGCAAGGUUUUGAGGGUGUCCUGGGAUUAGGGCAGGCUUUUGCCUAGUGACCCUGUUGGCCACACUUCAAACAGGCUUCCGGUGGUUUGUUGCGAGGUUGAGGAUUUUUGUAUGCAUUGGGAACCCUGUUGAACGGCAGCUGCCAGCAUCUGGUGUUUAGCUUGGUCCCUUUUUGGCUUUUGGGUUUUCAGUUUUUCCUCUGUAUUGUUAAAGACCUUAAAGGCCACUUUGAUUAAGUCUCUUUGGGAGAUUUGAGGGUCAUCCUCCAGUUUUUAAAGUUUUAUUUAUUUAUUUAUUUCUGGGGCUGACUGGGAAAUUAAGUGUAAAUGAAGGUAGAUUCUGCCCUUACUGGUAUUAGGGCUUAAGGUGGUAUAUUUAGUCAUGGCCUCUGAAAGGCAGGAGAGGAAAAGAGCAGGGGCAGCUUUGUUCAUGCCAGCUAGGAGGCAUGAUAUUAUAUGGCCCUGUUUCUGUCUGUCUGCAGAAGUUGCCUGAUAAUCCCAGUUGGAAUUAGUUCUGGGGACAGCUAGGGUCCCUACUGGGUUAUGGGCAGCAUCUUGUUGGUGGAGGGUGUUUGCAUGGGCCUGGGCAGCUGUCGAGAUGCAUUCCCUGUGCUCCGGGGUGACGGUGGAGGACAGCAUGACAUAUGUCAUGACAAGUAAGGUCAUAAGAUUGAGUGAUAUUUAGAAAUUCCUUGCAGGAGGUGGAAUUUGUGGGAAAAAAGCCGAGCUUCUUUUCAAGCUGGGAGAGGCUGGCUAGGGAGAAGGAAACAUGAACUCAGAUUGUGCCUUAGGCCCCCACAACCUCCCACAACGGGAGUACUUUGGAGGACCUUUGGGCAUGUGCCUGGUUUUUGGCAAAAGGGGGUUGAGUGUGAGACCUGGUAUGCAGUGGAGAAGGAGGGGGCGAAGGGCAACAAUAAGGGAGUAGAGGAGCCACAGCUGAAUGAGAAGGAGGAGGGGUGGGAUGGAUACAGAGGGAGGGGGUUUGUUAGCCAGGUUGAAAUUAGAGAAGGAAGCCUUGUCUGGAGGAGGAGGUGCUUUUGCAAGAUAUUUGUUGAGGAGGAGGAUUUGAAAAGGUGAACAGGGUUGGCAGAGAGACAACCACAAACAGAGAUAAGCAAAGCACCUCAGAUCAUUUACCAUUGCACAGGAGGAAGUUUUUUACAUUAUGUUGAAUUUGGAAAUUGAAUAUUUUGUUGUUUGGCCAUUGACUAUUAUUGUCCAGUUUACAUUGAAGCUAGGCCACAUUACAGAGGAAGGUACAGAGGCAAGUAAGGUGCUGAGUUUUUU
Molecule: long non-coding RNA, 5815 nt
Filed under: Homo sapiens (human)
Lineage: Eukaryota; Metazoa; Chordata; Mammalia; Primates; Hominidae
Description: HSALNT0180093
Source: RNAcentral